This is a long non-coding RNA of Salvelinus sp. IW2-2015, 348 nucleotides long. RefSeq lists it as uncharacterized. The record is from RefSeq and is a predicted model, not a curated record. Lineage: Eukaryota; Metazoa; Chordata; Actinopteri; Salmoniformes; Salmonidae.
GGACCCUGUACUGUGCCAAGGGGAACUACGACUUCGGGAUCACCCGUGUCAUCAAGAGUCUGGAACCGUACAACAAGAAGCUGGGAACAGACACCUGGUUCUAUGCUAAGCGCUGUUUCCUGUCUCUGCUGGAGAACACGGCCAAACACAUGAUCAUGAUCAGGGACUCAGUUGUUCAGGAGUGUAUUCAGUUCCUGGAGCACUGUGAAGUGUAUGGUAAGACAGAGCCAGCCAUGAUAGAACAGCCACUGGAGGAGGACAGGAUGCACAUUGGAAAGAACACCGUCACCUACGAGUCACGCCUCCUCAAAGCUCUCUUCUACGAGGUCAUCGGAUGGAACCAGUGAU